AACGGCUACCACAUCCACGGAAGGCAGCAGGCGCGCAAAUUACCCAAUCCCGACACGGGGAGGUAGUGACAAUAAAUAACAAUAUAGGGCCCUUUUGGGUCCUAUAAUUGGAAUGAGUACAAUUUAAAUCCGUUAACGAGGAACAAUUGGAGGGCAAGUCUGGUGCCAGCAGCCGCGGUAAUUCCAGCUCCAAUAGCGUAUAUUAAAGUUGUUGCAGUUAAAAAGCUCGUAGUUGAACUUCAGACCUGACCGGGCGGUCCGCCUAACGGUGUGUACUGUCUGGCCGGGCCUUACCUCUUGGUGAGCCGGCAUGCCCUUCACUGGGUGUGUCGGGGAACCAGGACCUUUACCUUGAGAAAAUUAGAGUGUUCAAAGCAGGCUUACGCCGGAAUACAUUAGCAUGGAAUAAUAAAAUAGGACGUGCGGUUCUAUUUUGUUGGUUUCUAGAGUCGCCGUAAUGAUUAAUAGGGAUAGUUGGGGGCAUUUGUAUUGCGUUGCUAGAGGUGAAAUUCUUGGAUUUACGCAAGACAAACUAUUGCGAAAGCAUUUGCCAAGGAUGUUUUCAUUAAUCAAGAACGAAGGUUAGGGGAUCGAAAACGAUCAGAUACCGUUGUAGUCUUAACAGUAAACUAUGCCGACUAGGGAUCGGACGACCUCAAUAUUAUGCGUCGUUCGGCACCUUACGAGAAAUCAAAGCUUUGGGUUCUGGGGGGAGUAUGGUCGCAAGGCUGAAA
RNAcentral lists this ribosomal RNA (734 nucleotides) under uncultured Basidiomycota. Its description in RNAcentral is "SSU rRNA". It matches the Rfam family "Eukaryotic small subunit ribosomal RNA", at positions 402 to 1142 of the family's 1831-position model. Lineage: Eukaryota; Fungi; Basidiomycota. The record is from RNAcentral.